RNAcentral lists this transfer RNA (51 nucleotides) under Paraqianlabeo lineatus. Its description in RNAcentral is "tRNA-Tyr". The record is from RNAcentral. Lineage: Eukaryota; Metazoa; Chordata; Actinopteri; Cypriniformes; Cyprinidae.
AGGCGGUGGGUUGUAGCCCCGAAGACAGAGGUUUGAGUCCUCUCCCUACCA